CACCUUAAGUAAGACUCUUGUCCUUGUUCAUAACCUGAGAAACAAAUAUAAUGUGGCUGAUGGUCGGCCUCUUACUCAUCUUCAUCUUCUCCAGCUUCACUUAAUGAUUAUUCCUCUUUAGCAAAGCCAUGCCGUUUUUCUGCCUCAUCUUCAAAGCUUGUUUCAACAUGGCCUAAACUGAUUUGAUAUUCAGUUUCAUCUUGUUCAUCAACUUCCAGAUC
This 221-nucleotide long non-coding RNA is filed under the name Brassica napus (rape). Its description in RNAcentral is "long non-coding RNA (BNAP_LNC021265)". Lineage: Eukaryota; Viridiplantae; Streptophyta; Magnoliopsida; Brassicales; Brassicaceae. The record is from RNAcentral.